UUAUACAUACACGACAGGGAACCAAAUUCCAGCCACACGUACUUUCAAAGUAGUCGUUAUUUUCAGCUUACACAUACGAGUGAUUUGAGAAAAAUAUUUUGAAUAUCAUUUCAAAAAUUCGUUUGAUUUAACGAGGUAGGAUAACAAGGUGUGGUUGCUUUUAUCCUGUUUAAAUUAUUUUUUUCGUGUUUUUGAAUUAUUAUACCUAUGAAAGUUAAAGAUAUAAUAUGAUAUGUAUAAUAUGGUCAUCCGGUACCAAAAAUAUGAUAUGUAUUGACCUCUUACCAAUCCCUAAAGAUAUGAUGACGGUAUAAUAUUUUUGACGCAUAAUUUAAAUAUUUUUAUUUGGAAUUGCACCAUUAUUCAUGUCCUACUAAGUAUUCCCAUAUACUCACCAUUUUCUUCUACUCCUCACAGGUUAAAAUGGAUCAUUGGUUGGCGGACGAUGAGAAGCAGUUGUGGUGUCAAGAUUUAUGGAACUCAAUAAAAAUAAUUCGCUAUUACAUGACUACGGAUUUUAUUGUUAGCAUUAUUUUAGUUUUAUUAUCCCGUGUAUUUUGUUA
This 563-nucleotide long non-coding RNA is filed under the name Olea europaea (common olive). RNAcentral describes it as "long non-coding RNA (OEUR_LNC014009)". Lineage: Eukaryota; Viridiplantae; Streptophyta; Magnoliopsida; Lamiales; Oleaceae. The record is from RNAcentral.